GGGUGACGAGCGGCGGACGGGUGAGUAAUGUCUGGGAAACUGCCUGAUGGAGGGGGAUAACUACUGGAAACGGUAGCUAAUACCGCAUAACGUCUUCGGACCAAAGAGGGGGACCUUAGGGCCUCUCGCCAUCGGAUGUGCCCAGAUGGGAUUAGCUAGUAGGUGAGGUAAUGGCUCACCUAGGCGACGAUCCCUAGCUGGUCUGAGAGGAUGACCAGCCACACUGGAACUGAGACACGGUCCAGACUCCUACGGGAGGCAGCAGUGGGGAAUAUUGCACAAUGGGCGCAAGCCUGAUGCAGCCAUGCCGCGUGUGUGAAGAAGGCCUUCGGGUUGUAAAGCACUUUCAGCGGGGAGGAAGGCGGUGAGGUUAAUAACCUUAUCGAUUGACGUUACCCGCAGAAGAAGCACCGGCUAACUCCGUGCCAGCAGCCGCGGUAAUACGGAGGGUGCAAGCGUUAAUCGGAAUGACUGGGCGUAAAGCGCACGCAGGCGGUCUGUUAAGUUGGAUGUGAAAUCCCCGGGCUUAACCUGGGAACUGCAUUCAAAACUGACAGGCUAGAGUCUUGUAGAGGGGGGUAGAAUUCCAGGUGUAGCGGUGAAAUGCGUAGAGAUCUGGAGGAAUACCGGUGGCGAAGGCGGCCCCCUGGACAAAGACUGACGCUCAGGUGCGAAAGCGUGGGGAGCAAACAGGAUUUAGAUACCCUGGGUAGUCCACGCUGUAAACGAUGUCGAUUUGGGAGGUUGUGCCCUUUGAGGCGUGGCUUCCGGAGCUAACGCGUUAAAUCGACCGCCUGGGGAGUACGGCCGCAAGGUUAAAACUCAAAUUGAAUUUGACGGGGGCCCGCACAAGCGGUGGAGCAUGUGGUUUAAUUCGAUGCAACGCGAAGAACCUUACCUACUCUUGACAUCCACAGAAUUUGGUAGAGAUACCUUAGUGCCUUCGGGAACUGUGAGACAGGUGCUGCAUGGCUGUCGUCAGCUCGUGUUGUGAAAUGUUGGGUUAAGUCCCGCAACGAGCGCAACCCUUAUCCUUUGUUGCCAGCGAUUCGGUCGGGAACUCAAAGGAGACUGCCGGUGAUAAACCGGAGGAAGGUGGGGAUGACGUCAAGUCAUCAUGGCCCUUACGAGUAGGGCUACACACGUGCUACAAUGGCGUAUACAAAGAGAAGCGACCUCGCGAGAGCAAGCGGACCUCAUAAAGUACGUCGUAGUCCGGAUUGGAGUCUGCAACUCGACUCCAUGAAGUCGGAAUCGCUAGUAAUCGUAGAUCAGAAUGCUACGGUGAAUACGUUCCCGGGCCUUGUACACACCGCCCGUCACACCAUGGGAGUGGGUUGCAAAAGAAGUAGGUAGCUUAACCUUCGGGAGGGCGCUUACCACU
This 1384-nucleotide ribosomal RNA is filed under the name Pectobacterium aquaticum. Its description in RNAcentral is "bacterial SSU rRNA". It matches the Rfam family "Bacterial small subunit ribosomal RNA", at positions 86 to 1461 of the family's 1533-position model. The record is from RNAcentral. Lineage: Bacteria; Pseudomonadati; Pseudomonadota; Gammaproteobacteria; Enterobacterales; Pectobacteriaceae.